Siniperca chuatsi (mandarin fish) is the source of this 1068-nucleotide long non-coding RNA. RefSeq lists it as uncharacterized. Lineage: Eukaryota; Metazoa; Chordata; Actinopteri; Centrarchiformes; Sinipercidae. The record is from RefSeq and is a predicted model, not a curated record. The transcript is spliced from 2 exons.
ACAGCGAGUCUCUCUAUCUGCUGCUCUCUUUGUUCCCGCUUCUGCUCAACCCCGUUAGUUUGAAGUGUGCGACUCACACAUUGCUACUCCGACCGAGCAAAACACAACUAAGUGCAGAGAGAGAGAGAGAGAGAGAGAGAGAGAGAGAGAGAGAGUGAGUGAGUGAGAGAGAGAGCGCAGUCUCCACGUUGUGUCUGUCUGAGAGAGCAGACACGCUUCAAAUCGGCCCGCCAGACUCGGAGCUGCAGGAGGCUCGGUCGUCAUCGAGGCACUGAGGCUUUGAUGUACAUUUGAGGCCAAACAAAGGACCUGAGCGAAAAUAAACGCAUAUCCAGCUCUCGGUAUCAUCGUUGAAAGUCAAAGGCAGAGCCUAUAUAUAGCGUCUGUCAGGCUGCACCGCACACUGCCAGUGGUGCCCAACAUUUGGACCGCGAUUGUGUCAUGAUGUCCUUGCCCUUCACUCCAGCAAACAGCCAGCCUGCUGUGACUGUAGAGCCGCAUUGCCGCAUUGCGCAACGCAGAGACGGGGGCGAACAGAGUAACCCAGGACAUGCCUCGCUGAGGAGACCCGUGUGUUUCCGAGCUGCAAUUGCAUCAGGAGAUAUAUUUGCACACAGAAGCUAACCCAAUCCCCCAGAGCUGAAUCAAAGAACAUUUAAUUGUCCUCUAACAUCUCACAGUGUGUUUUAAUUUGAUUCAGUAUCAUUGGGAUCCCACAAAAACUACAUCCACAGCUCUAACAAAAUCAUUUGAUAGAUUAAAUAGAUUUCUCUCCAACAUGCAAACACUCCAUAAUAAAUGAUCAAUAAAUGAGACAAAGCCUGAAGCCUUUAUGAAUGGUGACUGUGAAGAUGAAACUUACAGGUAUACACUCCUUACACACCUUUCACAGAACAGUGUCAAAACUGUUUAGGAGCUUAGAUUCCUUCUUGAAUUAAUCUGCAUGCAUGCUGCACCCAGGCACAGCCAAAUAUCACGCAGCCAUGACACCAUACUGGUCAGUACAUCCGUGGCUGUAGACAACACAUCUCAUAACAUGACAGAGCAGCACAAUGACAGCCACACAUA